UUUUUAUGAGAGUUUGAUCCUGGCUCAGGACGAACGCUGGCGGCGUGCCUAAUACAUGCAAGUCGAACGCUUCUUUUUCCACCGGAGCUUGCUCCAUCGGAAAAAGAG
This 108-nucleotide ribosomal RNA is filed under the name Enterococcus hirae. RNAcentral's name for it is "partial 16S ribosomal RNA". It matches the Rfam family "Bacterial small subunit ribosomal RNA", at positions 1 to 95 of the family's 1533-position model. Lineage: Bacteria; Bacillati; Bacillota; Bacilli; Lactobacillales; Enterococcaceae. The record is from RNAcentral.